Molecule: transfer RNA, 87 nt
Filed under: Tissierellia bacterium
Lineage: Bacteria; Bacillati; Bacillota; Tissierellia
Description: tRNA-Leu
Rfam family: tRNA
About the family: Transfer RNA (tRNA) molecules are approximately 80 nucleotides in length. Their secondary structure includes four short double-helical elements and three loops (D, anti-codon, and T loops).
Source: RNAcentral
GCUGGUGUGUCGGAAUUGGCAGACGAGACAGACUCAAAAUCUGUUGUUCCUUGGAGCGUGUGGGUUCAAGUCCCACCACCAGCACCA